CAGGGCAUAAUUUAAACAGAAUGCUAGCUUUGGGUGUUAGCUGUAGGGGAUUGUUUCCCCUUGCUCUGA
Molecule: transfer RNA, 69 nt
Filed under: Fritziana sp. 2 MLL-2018
Lineage: Eukaryota; Metazoa; Chordata; Amphibia; Anura; Hemiphractidae
Description: tRNA-Pro
Source: RNAcentral